CUGCCUAUAACCUAGGAGGAUAGCCCGGAGAAAUUCGGAUUAAUACUCCAUAACAUAGUGGUGUGGCAUCACAUUAUUAUUAAAGCUCCGGCGGUUAUAGAUGAGUAUGCGGAUGAUUAGCUAGUUGGUGAGGUAAUGGCUCACCAAGGCUACGAUCAAUAGGGGUACUGAGAGGUUAAACCCCCACACUGGUACUGAGACACGGACCAG
This 210-nucleotide ribosomal RNA is filed under the name uncultured bacterium. RNAcentral describes it as "partial 16S ribosomal RNA". It matches the Rfam family "Bacterial small subunit ribosomal RNA", at positions 126 to 334 of the family's 1533-position model. The record is from RNAcentral.